This 962-nucleotide long non-coding RNA is filed under the name Vigna radiata. RNAcentral's name for it is "long non-coding RNA (VRAD_LNC010932)". The record is from RNAcentral. Lineage: Eukaryota; Viridiplantae; Streptophyta; Magnoliopsida; Fabales; Fabaceae.
CAGCCCACUACUGCCCACCACUACUUACUGCAGUUUUAUGUCAAAAGGUGAAUGAUUGAUGGCAACACAACAAAAUACUAAACCCAAAAUCUAUUUUAAAAAUAAUUUUAAUUUUUUAAUUUAUUUAUAGAUGGGAUCACAUCCCGAAAAGCAAAAAAAGAAAAGGUUGAUUUUGCCUCCAUCCAAAAAAGACAAGAUGUGUUUUUUUAAUUAGUUAUGAAUCAAUAUAUUAGGGUUUCAUAUGAUUAUAAAUUUAAUAAAUCUUCUAUAAAACACUAAGACAUGAAUGCAUGGAAGGGUGAGAUUUUUACAAUGCUUUUUAAUUAGUUUUCUGAAUAAAAUAACAAAUUUUCCUUAAACUAGAUCUGAUAUAUAUAUAUAUAUAUAUAUAUAUAUAUAUACACACGAUGGCACUUAAUCAAAUAUACAAAAAUGCUGAGUCAUUAGAUGUGGUGUCAAAAGAAAAUACGUGGUGCAAAAUACAUCUAAUAAAGCUUAUAAAACUGUUUAAGCAAACAUGUUUUCUUAGACACCACGUGGCAGCAAAGUUGUAGUUGUAAAAUUGAAAUAUAACUCUAUCAGAAGAUCAAAGAAACUUCUGCUACAAUUCUAUCAUCAGAGGCUUCGUAUGUAUAUACAGAAUUUUCAAUACCUACUUUCUUUAUACAGCGUGGCCUCCAAAGUAUACUUUUGCUGUUAUUUUGAUAAUAAAAAAUAAUGAUGGUUUUUAAAAGUGGAGAGUCUAUUUAUUAUUUCUGUUUAUUCUAUUAAUUUCUAUUGGACAACUUAAAACUUCUUAUUCAUAGAAGUAUACGUAAAAAAAAUUAGGUAUAUUUUUUUUAUAUUUCCAAUUGUUUUUUCUUAAUUAUAGAGUUUUAAUAAUGAGUAAGAGUAUCAUAACAUAAAAUACAGGAGUAAAAUAUUAUAUAAGUAUAAAUUUUUAUAUAUUUUGAAGAAAGAAG